UUGAAAGGGAAACGAUUGAAGUCAGUCGUACCGACGGGAAUUCAACUUUUUAAGUGCUUGUCGUGGGUGAUGUUGAGCUUCGCGGCCUUCGUUGCUUUGCGUUAUGGUACUUUUAGGUGUACUUUUCCGUAUGGUAGGUCAACAUCGAUUUUAAUCGUCAUAAAAUGAUCGGAGGAAUGUGGCUUCGAUCUCGUAUCGGAGUGUUAUAGCCUUUGGUAGAUGUGACGAUUGGGAUCGAGGAUUGCAACGAAUACCCUUUGGGCUAUCCGUCUGACCUCUGAAAGUCGCUCGGGUGUCGAAAGCGUGCUUAUGACAUUCUAGUUGGCGGUCAAAAGGUUAGAACGUAAUUACAUUCGUUAAGGAUGUUGACGUA
Molecule: ribosomal RNA, 373 nt
Filed under: uncultured Glomeromycotina
Lineage: Eukaryota; Fungi; Glomeromycota
Description: LSU rRNA
Source: RNAcentral